Lingula anatina is the source of this 447-nucleotide long non-coding RNA. Lineage: Eukaryota; Metazoa; Brachiopoda; Lingulata; Lingulida; Lingulidae. The record is from RefSeq and is a predicted model, not a curated record.
AGUUGCAGAUGUACGAAUAACGGGAGGAAAAGGGAUGUUGAGGACAAGGAAGUUGAGGACCAGGAAGACGAGGACCAGGCUGGUGAGGACCAGGAUGAUCAGGGAGAAAACUGGGGUCCAAAAGAAAUGUUUAACACGAUUGAUACAGACGGAGAUGGUUAUAUAAACGUGGAUGAGUUCAGCAAUGUCCUACAGGGAUACACAGAUAUUAACGCUGCAUUUGACGACAUGGACGCCAAUGAUGACGGCAAGAUUGAUCGCAAAGAGUUCGACCCUGAUCUGCAAUAGCUCUGAAAAAGGACUACAAACAGUGUUUCACGUUUUCCUCCCUUUAUUGACAUUAGAAAUAUACCUUUAUAUCACAUGGAAUGAACUUUGGAAUUUCUUGGUAAAUUAGAAUGUGGAAUUAUGUGAAAUAAAAUGAUAGUGCUGUUUAUGUGAAAUUCA